UGUCUGUGUGGAAAGCGGCUGUGCAGACAU
RNAcentral lists this non-coding RNA (30 nucleotides) under Homo sapiens (human). Lineage: Eukaryota; Metazoa; Chordata; Mammalia; Primates; Hominidae. The record is from RNAcentral.